AUUGAACGCUGGCGGCAUGCUUUACACAUGCAAGUCGAACGGGGUGAAGGGGCAACUCUUCAUUCAGUGGCGAACGGGUGAGUAAUGCAUCGGAACGUACCUCGUAGUGGGGGAUAACUCGGCGAAAGCCGUGCUAAUACCGCAUAUGCUCUACGGAGGAAAGCAGGGGACCUGAGAGGGCCUUGUGCUAUGGGAGCGGCCGAUGUCCGAUUAGCUAGUUGGGGGGUAAUGGCCUACCAAGGCGACGAUCGGUAGCUGGUCUGAGAGGAUGAUCAGCCACACUGGGACUGAGACACGGCCCAGACUCCUACGGGAGGCAGCAGUGGGGAAUAUUGGACAAUGGGGGAAACCCUGAUCCAGCAAUGCCGCGUGAGUGAUGAAGGCCUUCGG
RNAcentral lists this ribosomal RNA (390 nucleotides) under uncultured bacterium. RNAcentral describes it as "bacterial SSU rRNA". It matches the Rfam family "Bacterial small subunit ribosomal RNA", at positions 30 to 421 of the family's 1533-position model. The record is from RNAcentral.